GCGAAGGCAGGAGCGUGAGGUGAACUGAAUUUCAGGGAUCGGCUGUCCAGUUCCUCGGAUCCCUGCAGAGGAUAUUGGCAGACCACGUGUGGGCCACACGGAUCCUGUGCGGCGUCCUGGUCUUUCCCACCAUCGUAGGGAAACUCAUGUUCAGCAUCAUCAACUCGAACCUGCAGAGGACCAUCCUCGUGGGUCCAAAUACACUUACACUGUCAACAAACAUGAUCACAAUUGUUUUGCACAUGGCUUUGAUGAGCAGGAUAAAACCCUGGUACCCAAGUCAUCAUCUCCAAUUUUCAAAACCCAUCACAGUGCUCCUGUUUUAGUUAAAUACUGUGAGGUAAUGUUCAAGUUCUGGCAAAUGUAUUGAAAUGUUGAAAUAUUAGGAAGGAUGAAUAUAGAGCUCUGUAAUUUGAGUGAACAGACUGAAACAGAAACUCAAACUCCUUUGUUCAUGUGUAAAUAACGUGGCUUUGAAUUAACAAGUUCUUGCUGAGAUGAGAAUCUGAGUGUGAGAGCCUGUUUAACACACUGUAUAACCAACAACCUGGAAUAUUUAACCUGCACAUGUCAACUUCUGUACAGGCGUUGUGAGAUCUGCAGACUACACCUUUCCCAUCAGAUCUCCUCUCUGCCAAGAGAGAGGCUGAACUGCACACGAUGCUUCUAACUUUAGACUUCUACAGUAUGAGCUCUGUGAAUAAAUGUAUUUUCAAAAUAUUGACGUGCACGUGUUGAGACUGGAAAAGUGCGACAGACGAGUUUCCAUUCAGCUGUUUAUUAAUUAGAAACACACAAGAAACAUAAAAAGACCAAACUCAACACUCUUCACCUGCCCAUGACCCCCACCAGCCAAUCACAGUCGUUCUGAGUUGCUAAAUACAUCCAGAAAUUUAAAAUUUGAUUUUCUAAAUGAAAACCACUCACUAGGUACUUCACGUCAAACAGUGCACGGCCCGCCCAAGCCUGAUAUGUAACAUUGGUUUCUUCUAGAACGCUGUGUGAAAACUGCUUUAUCACCCGCUCUCCCGAGACGCUGUGGAGCUACAUGCUGUGUAAGUAACAGACUAAGGCA
Long non-coding RNA from Oreochromis niloticus (Nile tilapia), 1075 nucleotides. RefSeq lists it as uncharacterized. The record is from RefSeq and is a predicted model, not a curated record. The transcript has 2 exons. Lineage: Eukaryota; Metazoa; Chordata; Actinopteri; Cichliformes; Cichlidae.